CAGUCCGCUGCUUGUGUGCCGCGAGGAGAGGCGCAAAGGGUGACACACCAGGAAAGCAGGGGUUAGUUAUAGCAGGCAAGAGUGUGGUUAUCGUUGGACCAGGAUUCAGGAUCUGACCGAGUAGCUGACUCUUAAUCCAGUUUGUGUUGAUCACCAGGAGGAUCUGGACCUCAGUGUUAUCAUAUCUAGAGCUAUAAUCACAUCCCUGUUAAGCCUUCCUGAGAUCACAUCAAAUGUCCUUGAUGGGAAUUGUAAACAAACCUUAAUUCUGGUAUCUAAUGAUAUUCCAGGAAAGGAGUCAAACUAGAGUCAGUGAUAUGCCAACUCCACCUUUGCCUUCCACCAUGUUUGGAAGCUCCCUGAGGCCUCACCAGGAGCAGAUGCUCAUCCCAUGCUUCCUAUAAGCCUGCAGAACUGGAAAAGAAAGCUGGAUAAAGUAUUUAUAGAAGAUAGAGGACCUGUGGUGGCUCAUGCCUGUAAUCCAAGGUGCAAGGAUCGCUUGAGGCCAGAAGUUCAAGACCAGUCCAAGCAACAUAGCAAGGCCCCAUCUCUACAAAAAAUGAAAAUAAAAUUAGCCAAGCAUGAUGGCUCAUGCCUGUAGUUCUAGCUUCUAGAGAGGCUGAGGCAGGA
RNAcentral lists this non-coding RNA (630 nucleotides) under Pongo abelii (Sumatran orangutan). Lineage: Eukaryota; Metazoa; Chordata; Mammalia; Primates; Hominidae. The record is from RNAcentral.